UACGGGGGGGGCAAGCGUUGUUCGGAAUUACUGGGCGUAAAGGGCGCGUAGGCGGCCUUCUAAGUCGGACGUGAAAUCCCUCGGCUUAACCGAGGAACUGCGUCCGAUACUGAAAGGCUUGAAUCCGGGAGAGGGAUGUGGAAUUCCAGGUGUAGCGGUGAAAUGCGCAGAUAUCAGGAAGAACACCCGUGACGAAGGCGGCUCUCUGGGACGGUACUGACGCUGAGACGCGAAAGCGUGGGGAGCGAACAGG
This 253-nucleotide ribosomal RNA is filed under the name uncultured bacterium. RNAcentral's name for it is "partial 16S ribosomal RNA". It matches the Rfam family "Bacterial small subunit ribosomal RNA", at positions 524 to 776 of the family's 1533-position model. The record is from RNAcentral.